GACAAACGCUGGCGGCGUGCCUAACACAUGCAAGUCGAACGAAGCAUUUGAAUGGAUCCCUUCGGGGUGAAGCUCUUAUGACUUAGUGGCGGACGGGUGAGUAACGCGUGAGUAACCUGCCUUUCAGUGGGGGACAACAGUUGGAAACGACUGCUAAUACCGCAUAAUGUGCCGGAGGGGCAUCCCUCUGGUACCAAAGCUUUAUGUGCUGAAAGAUGGUCUCGCGUCUGAUUAGCUAGUUGGUGAGGUAACGGCUCACCAAGGCGACGAUCAGUAGCCGGUCUGAGAGGAUGAACGGCCACAUUGGGACUGAGAUACGGCCCAGACUCCUACGGGAGGCAGCAGUGGGGAAUAUUGGGCAAUGGGGGAAACCCUGACCCAGCAACGCCGCGUGAAGGAAGAAGGCCUUCGGGUUGGUAAACUUACUUUAGUUAGGGACGAAGAACGUGACGGUACUACAGAAAAGACAACGGCUAACUAACGUG
This 485-nucleotide ribosomal RNA is filed under the name uncultured bacterium. RNAcentral describes it as "bacterial SSU rRNA". It matches the Rfam family "Bacterial small subunit ribosomal RNA", at positions 28 to 507 of the family's 1533-position model. The record is from RNAcentral.